Molecule: long non-coding RNA, 904 nt
Organism: Mus pahari (shrew mouse)
Lineage: Eukaryota; Metazoa; Chordata; Mammalia; Rodentia; Muridae
Exons: 4
Source: RefSeq, a predicted model, not a curated record
UUCUGACUUACCCUCAGGAAGCAAACACCUCUUUGGGAAAAAAAAAUGUGCAUUUUCUGACCCCUGAACUUGGGUUAAUGUCUGUUAAUAUUUGUCACUAAUGCUGUGUUUCUUCCUUCCGUUAGGAAAGGAAAAGCUGUUGCUAAAUGAAGUCAGCAGCUCUUCUUAUCCAGGAUAUGGUGGAAGAGAAGAAACUGCUCCAUCGAGGAACAAAGCUGUUCAGAAUAAGCAUUUACCAACAAGCCCAUGACUUAUGUAAGCAGAGGCCAGCACACACGUCGUGAGAAAUCUGCUCCCUCAUUCAGAUGUCACUAUAGCCUUCCCUAAAUGUUUCUCAAGGCCGCAGAGAAGGUUCCGAUGGGAUGGCCUCUCACUGAAUUACUGGAGAACCUCAGAUCUGUUAUCUGGGAAACCAACCAAUCAGUCCAAUUCUGAUAAAUAACGCAUCACUGUAAUAGAAUAAAAAUACAGCAAAAAUUUAAAGAAAGUUGUAUAACAUCUGAAGAGAAAGCCAAAAGAAGCUUAGAGUGGUAGUGAAUAACUGUAAUCCUGGCAAGCAGAAGGCUGGAGCAGGAAGGGCAGGGGUUGAAGGACAGCUGGAGCUAGAGUGAGUCCCUGGUUGGUCUACACAGAGUCUCUCAGAAAAAAUAAAAGAAGAAAGAAAGCAGGUAAGAAGCAUAAAACAGCAAAACAAACAAACAAAACAAAACAAAAACCAACCCAGCAAAUAGUGUUCUAUACUGCAUCAAAAGACAAAGCAUAGUAUAUUAAUGUGUACAAUAUAUAAGAAAAAAGAAGUUAAUCUAAAAUUUAUAUACCCAGAGAACUUGUCAAAAACCUAUGUGAAGCCUGGCCUGAUGAUUCAUGCCUUUAAUCAGUCCCAGCGCUCGGGAAGCAGAAGCGG